CCUACGGGUGGCUGCAGUGAGGAAUAUUGGUCAAUGGGCGGGAGCCUGAACCAGCCAAGUCGCGUGAGGGAAGACGGUCCUAUGGAUUGUAAACCUCUUUAGGCGGGGAGCAAUGCCGGGCACGCGUGCCCGGAGGGAGAGUACCCGCAGAAUAAGCAUCGGCUAACUCCGUGCCAGCAGCCGCGGUAAUACGGAGGAUGCGAGCGUUAUCCGGAUUUAUUGGGUUUAAAGGGUGCGUAGGCGGAUUUUUAAGUCAGCGGUAAAAUGUCCGGGGCUCAACCCCGUCGUGCCGUUGAAACUGGCGUUCUUGAGUGAGCGAGAAGUAUGCGGAAUGCGUGGUGUAGCGGUGAAAUGCAUAGAUAUCACGCAGAACUCCGAUUGCGAAGGCAGCAUACCGGCGCUCAACUGACGCUCAUGCACGAAAGCGUGGGUAUCGAACAGGAUUAGAUACCCGGGUAGUC
This 461-nucleotide ribosomal RNA is filed under the name uncultured bacterium. RNAcentral's name for it is "partial 16S ribosomal RNA". It matches the Rfam family "Bacterial small subunit ribosomal RNA", at positions 338 to 795 of the family's 1533-position model. The record is from RNAcentral.